RNAcentral lists this ribosomal RNA (3201 nucleotides) under Triticum aestivum (bread wheat). RNAcentral describes it as "partial small subunit ribosomal RNA". Lineage: Eukaryota; Viridiplantae; Streptophyta; Magnoliopsida; Poales; Poaceae. The record is from RNAcentral.
AUGGCGGCGGUGGUGGCCACCAUGGUGGUCGGACCACUGCUCAAAAUCGUGAUGGGGAAGGCGUCCAACUACCUCCUUGACAAGUACAGGGUGUUGAAGGGCAUGGAGGAGCAACAUGAGAUCCUGAUGCGCAAACUGCCUGCCAUCCUGGACAUCAUCACCGAUGCCGAGCAGGCGGCAGCCCAAAGAGAAGGGGCAGCGGCCUGGCUCCAGGCCGUCAAGAAGGUGGCUUACGAGGUGAAUGAAGUCUUCGACGAGUUCAAGUACGAGGCACUUCGUCGUGAAGCAAAAAGGAAGGGGCACUACAAGGAGCUUGGCUUCGAUGUGGUAAAACUCUUUCCCACUCACAACCGUUUUGUAUUCUGUAACAGGAUGGGAAGAAAGCUCUGCAAGAUUGUGCAGGCCAUCGAGGUCCUUGUGACUGAAAUGAAUGCCUUUGGCUUUAAGUAUCAACAACAACCACCGAAGCACUUUGAUUUGCUGCUAUGGGUGUGUGUCUCUAACAACUUUGAUGUGGAUUCUCUGACUACAAGAAUAGUUGAAGCAGCUCCUGAGAAGAAGGAUGAUGGCACAAAAGAAACCGCUUCCAAGAAGAAGAAAACACCACUGGAUAAACUUCAGGAUUUGGUCAGCGGGCAAAGGUACCUCCUUGUACUUGAUGAUGUCUGGAAUAAAGAGGUUUAUAAAUGGAAACAGCUUAAGGCCCGACUUCAACAUGGUGGCAUGGGUAGUGUGGUUUUGAAAAUAACUCGUGAUGGUGGAGUUGCAGAAAUGAUGCGUACUGUUGAAGCAUAUAAUCUCACAGCUUUGAAAGAUCAAUACAUAAAGGAAAUUAUCAAGACAACAGCAUUCAGCCAAUUCAAGAAGGAAGAGGAAAGGUCUGCUGAGUUGGUGAAUAUGGUUGAUAAGAUUGUGGGGAGAUGUUCUGGCUCUCCUUUAGCUGCAACAGCACUGGGCUGCAUGCUGUCUACCAAGACCAGUAAGGAGGAAUGGGAGACUGUAUUAAGCAGAAGCAGCAUUUGCACCGAGGAGAAUGGAAUCUUACCAAUACUCAAGCUCAGUUACAACGACUUGUCGCCGCGUAUGAAGCAAUGUUUUGCUUUUUGUGCAAUAUUUCCCAAAUAUCACAAGAUUGAUGUGGACAAGUUGAUCCAACUAUGGAUUGCACAUGGCUUCAUCCAGGAAAAGCAAGUUCGUCUUGAAACCAUUGGCAAACAGAUUUUCAAUGAGCUGGCCUCAAGGUCAUUCUUUCAGGAUGUGGAACAAGUCCAAGCCACGGUCAAGGAAGUUGAAGACACCUGGUCGUGUUAUUCCAGAACUACAUGUAAAAUUCACGAUCUUAUGCACGAUGUUGCACUGUCUGUAAUGGGAAAGGAAUGUGUCUUGGCAACUGAGGAACAAGGCAAAAUUGAAUCUGUUGUCGCAACAGAGGAAACAAGUCAGAAGCUUAAGUGCAUGCCCACAGACCUCAGGAAACUCACAUCCCUUCAGAGACUUACAUGCUUUGUAGCAGGUAGUGACCCUAAUUGUAGUAAGGUUGGAGAGCUUGGAAAUUUAAACCUUGGUGGUCAACUAAAGCUACGUAAUCUGGCAAACGUGACAGAAGUGGAUGCAAAAGCAGCAAACCUUGUGAACAAGGAGCUAAGAGAACUGAGAUUAACAUGGACCUUCGGAUGGAAUUAUUAUAAAUAUAAUACUAGCUGCCGGGAUAAUGAAGAGGAUGCAAAAGUGCUCGAGAAUCUCAAACAUCAUGAUGGACUACAUGCCAUAGGGAUAGAGUCAUAUGGAGCCACCACCUUCCCAACAUGGAUGACUAUGUUGCAAAACAUUGUUGAGAUCCAUCUUUUCAGCUGUACAAAACUAGUAUGGUUGUUCAGCGGUGAGUGUGAUACAUCGUUUGCAUUUCCAAAUUUGAAGGAGCUUAUGCUAAACAGUCUUGUUUGUUUGGAGAGAUGGUGGGAAAUAGAUAAUGAUGGGAUGCAAGGAGAGGUGAUGAUGUUUCCUCUACUUGAGAAGCUGCAUAUUAGCAACUGUGUAAAGUUGAAAGCAUUGCCAGGACAUCCGACCUUCCCUAAGCUAUCCAUUGAACAGAGUACAACCUCAACGGGGGCUGAGAAUAGUUUGAGGGAAGUGGUGAACAUCAAGGAGAAUGGGAAUGCUCAAGACUUUCCUCUAGAAGUUUUGGUGUUAAAAGACUUUAAGUCAGAAAAAUUGUUCGAAGGAUUGGUAUCCUUGAGGAAGCUUCAUAUUUGGCAAUGCAAUAAUUUGACUGGAUUUGCACAAGCUUCUGCUGAGCCAUCAACAUCAUCAGAAACCAGUCAGCUCCUGCCACGUCUAGAAUCUCUGAUGAUAUGGAGCUGUGAAAACUUGGUUGAGCUCUUCAACGUCCCUGCAUCUCUCAGGACAAUGACCAUUAAUAAUUGCAGUAAGCUUGAGUCCAUAUCCGGCAUGAAGCUGCAGCAGGGACAGUCAAUAUCAUGGAUUCAUCAAGGGUCAUCCAGGAUAGAAGAAAUAUUAUUACACCACUGUGAUGGCUUAACAGGGGUUCUCUAUUUUCCCCCGUCCCUCAAGAGACUAGACAUUGCUGACUGUGAUGGGUUGACAUCUCUGGAAUCCUGCUCUCCUGAGCUCCAAUCCUUGAAGUUCCUCCAGCUUUGGGAUUGCAAGACCCCGGAAUCCCUACCGGAUGUGCCGCAAGCAUACUCAUCUCUCCAAUAUCUUUCCAUUAGACGCUGCCCUGGUCUGAAGACGCUCCCUGCAAGCCUGCAGCAACGCCUUGGCAGCAUCCAUGACAAAUACGUAGAUGCCCAUCUUUAUGGAAAUAAGCCAAGGCCUAUGCCUAUGCUGCUGAAGCCCAAGACAUGGAACAUCCCAGUCCCAACGGCUAGCUUGUCAAUGCCCAUCUCACUCAACCCUUCUUCUCAGUUCUGCUUCCCCAUUGCCCACAGCCUCACAAGCAUGUGUUCCUCCAAUCCCCAGCUUAGCUCCGCACCUCAGACGUCACACCACACCACCAACCAGAUGCCACCGCUUCCUCUCAUCUGUUGCCCGGAGUGCAAUGCGGGCUACAUGAUCUAUACGGUGGAUGCAGUUGUUGGAAGUGGGAGAACAACAAGCCAGUUAAUGUGCAACUCCGACGUCCCACUAGAGGAGCCAGAUCCAGAGCUCUCCCCGGCAAAUGUUGGAACGCUGGGGGAUUGA